Molecule: ribosomal RNA, 505 nt
Filed under: Salmonella enterica
Lineage: Bacteria; Pseudomonadati; Pseudomonadota; Gammaproteobacteria; Enterobacterales; Enterobacteriaceae
Description: bacterial SSU rRNA
Rfam family: Bacterial small subunit ribosomal RNA
Source: RNAcentral
GAACGCUGGCGGCAGGCCUAACACAUGCAAGUCGAACGGUAACAGGAAGCAGCUUGCUGCUUUGCUGACGAGUGGCGGACGGGUGAGUAAUGUCUGGGAAACUGCCUGAUGGAGGGGGAUAACUACUGGAAACGGUGGCUAAUACCGCAUAACGUCGCAAGACCAAAGAGGGGGACCUUCGGGCCUCUUGCCAUCAGAUGUGCCCAGAUGGGAUUAGCUUGUUGGUGAGGUAACGGCUCACCAAGGCGACGAUCCCUAGCUGGUCUGAGAGGAUGACCAGCCACACUGGAACUGAGACACGGUCCAGACUCCUACGGGAGGCAGCAGUGGGGAAUAUUGCACAAUGGGCGCAAGCCUGAUGCAGCCAUGCCGCGUGUAUGAAGAAGGCCUUCGGGUUGUAAAGUACUUUCAGCGGGGAGGAAGGUGUUGUGGUUAAUAACCGCAGCAAUUGACGUUACCCGCAGAAGAAGCACCGGCUAACUCCGUGCCAGCCGCCGCGGUAAUU